Long non-coding RNA from Chiroxiphia lanceolata (lance-tailed manakin), 448 nucleotides. RefSeq lists it as uncharacterized. The record is from RefSeq and is a predicted model, not a curated record. The transcript has 3 exons. NCBI's taxonomy places the organism in Eukaryota, Metazoa, Chordata, Aves, Passeriformes, Pipridae.
AGACAUCAAUACAGAGCACAUGUGAAAUUCUAUCUGUGUAAUGAAGUGAAAUUCUUUGACUACACUGUUUCCAGUGUAAACUACUGAACUUGCAAACACCAAGUUGCGUGGGAGAUAAGCCAAGGUGAUGAAGUCCGAGCAAGAUGAGGAAGCACAAAGACUGUGGCAAAUUCUCCAAGGAAAACAUCUACAAGAGAGCAGAGAACAAGGCUGUCCUGAGCUAAUUUAUGCUCUUCAUUGGAAACAUUGAUGGCUGGCACUGAGAGCAAAACAAGAAAACUGGGCAAAUUCGGAGGAUCCUGUUAUCUUUAAUAUGUUUCUAGCAAUGCCUUUCAUGAGAAUUUUAGAUCUUCAUGAAUUUGAAAAUAGAGGUAAUAAACCAGAUAAGUAUAGUGAAAACUUGAAAUAAAAGUGGGAAUUUUAAUUUGGUUCUGAAAUGACCACUUAG